UACGUAGGAGGCAAGCGUUGUCCGGAAUUACUGGGCGUAAAGCGCGUGUAGGUGGUGGGACAAGUCUGCUGUGAAAGCGCCUGGCUUAACCGGGCGAGGUCGGCGGAAACUGUCGCACUCGAGGGACGGUAGAGGGGGGUGGAAUUCCCGGUGUAGUGGUGAAAUGCGUAGAGAUCGGGAGGAACACCUGUGGCGAAGGCGGCCCCCUGGGCC
RNAcentral lists this ribosomal RNA (213 nucleotides) under uncultured bacterium. RNAcentral's name for it is "partial 16S ribosomal RNA". It matches the Rfam family "Bacterial small subunit ribosomal RNA", at positions 524 to 735 of the family's 1533-position model. The record is from RNAcentral.